Molecule: unclassified non-coding RNA, 164 nt
Filed under: soil metagenome
Description: partial internal transcribed spacer 1
Source: RNAcentral
CCGAGUUGACAAACUCCCAAACCCCAAUGUUAUCUAUCUCGAUAACGUUGCCUCGGCGGAGCAGGCCCAGGCGGGCCCGUAAGAUAGGGAUCGGGCCGGCGCCGCCGGAGGACACCCUAAACUCUGUUUUUAGUGAACUUCUGAGUAAAACAGACAAAUAGUCA